AUUCCUACGGGGGGCUGCAGUGGGGAAUAUUGCACAAUGGGCGCAAGCCUGAUGCAGCAACGCCGCGUGGGGGAUGAAGGCCUUCGGGUUGUAAACCCCUUUUAGUAGGGAAGAAGCGAAAGUGACGGUACCUACAGAAAAAGCGCCGGCUAACUACGUGCCAGCAGCCGCGGUAAUACGUAGGGCGCAAGCGUUGUCCGGAAUUAUUGGGCGUAAAGAGCUCGUAGGCGGUUUGUCGCGUCUGCUGUGAAAUCCCGAGGCUCAACCUCGGGUCUGCAGUGGGUACGGGCAGACUAGAGUGUGGUAGGGGAGACUGGAAUUCCUGGUGUAGCGGUGGAAUGCGCAGAUAUCAGGAGGAACACCAAUGGCGAAGGCAGGUCUCUGGGCCACAACUGACGCUGAGGAGCGAAAGCGUGGGGAGCGAACAGGAUUAGAUACCCUGGUAGUCA
Molecule: ribosomal RNA, 449 nt
Filed under: uncultured Demequina sp.
Lineage: Bacteria; Bacillati; Actinomycetota; Actinomycetes; Micrococcales; Demequinaceae
Description: bacterial SSU rRNA
Rfam family: Bacterial small subunit ribosomal RNA
Source: RNAcentral